UCUCAAGUUACCAAUGCUGAUGCCUCCAAUUAUUGCUUCAAACUCCAUAAUAUCUCGAUUCUCGUUGAAAUAGACUGUUUUUACCAUCUAAAUUAGAGUGAAACAAACGUUAGUAAAUUUAAAUUUCUUUAGUAUCAACGAGGCAAAUCAUAACAGGAAUCACACAGGAUCAAGGAAUACAAAAAUGAAUUUAAAAAGGGACCUUUUCUAAUGCAAUUCUGGCUGCUUUUCUUUCCCUCUCACGUUGCAUCUUCAACUCUGUCUCUAACCUCAUUCGGGAGGCUGCUACAGCAGUUGCAAUCCUAGCCUUCUCUGCAGAAGGUCAAACAUCCAGUGUAAACAAAAUAUUCCCAAAUGAAGAGAAAUACUAAUGAAAUACUUAUACCGUAAAAGAACAGAAUGACAAUCAGAUAU
RNAcentral lists this long non-coding RNA (414 nucleotides) under Olea europaea (common olive). RNAcentral's name for it is "long non-coding RNA (OEUR_LNC005459)". Lineage: Eukaryota; Viridiplantae; Streptophyta; Magnoliopsida; Lamiales; Oleaceae. The record is from RNAcentral.